Molecule: transfer RNA, 57 nt
Filed under: Angiostrongylus vasorum (French heartworm)
Lineage: Eukaryota; Metazoa; Nematoda; Chromadorea; Rhabditida; Metastrongylidae
Description: tRNA-Phe
Source: RNAcentral
AUUUCUUUAGUUUAAGUUUUAAAAUGUGACUUUGAAGAGGUUGAGAUGAAUGAAAUG